UUUACUCAGGUGGUGUGGAAAAGCAGCACUGAGCUGGGUGUGGGCAUAGCCACUGAUGGCAAUACGGUCUUUGUGGUUGGGCAGUACCGCCCAGCUGGUAACAUUACCAAUGCAGGAUACUAUCAGAAAAAUGUCCUCCCAAAAGGAACAGAACUUUCCUCCACAAAUGAGGAAGACUCUGAAGCAGGUUGCAAAGCAGCAAACCAGGUGACAGGUAAGUGC
Molecule: long non-coding RNA, 222 nt
Organism: Pundamilia nyererei
Lineage: Eukaryota; Metazoa; Chordata; Actinopteri; Cichliformes; Cichlidae
Exons: 3
Source: RefSeq, a predicted model, not a curated record